Molecule: long non-coding RNA, 2939 nt
Filed under: Mus spretus (western wild mouse)
Lineage: Eukaryota; Metazoa; Chordata; Mammalia; Rodentia; Muridae
Description: predicted gene 12128 (ENSMSPG00010002329.1)
Source: RNAcentral
GACUAGCAAUGCUAAUCAUCUCCCACCCUAACAUACACACCGCCAAGAUGCAGAGGAGUAAGGGAUUGGUGCUGCAGGGUUUGAAUGUGCAGGAAGCAGAAUUUAGUGUGCUAUGACAGGAAUCCAUGGGACAUAGUGCAAUGCUCAUGAUAUCUCCAUCUAUGUAAUUGCCAAGAGGCAAGAAGGCCUGGAACCUUGGGCAGAACUCAAUGGAACCUGGGACCAUAGUGCAGCAUCCUGAUGGGAUCCAUAGACCUCAAGCAUCUCAGGCUAUGGAGAAUGUAGCAGGUGAUGGUAAGCUCAGUACUCUACAAUAGCCACAUCAAGAUGCUUCAGAGCUAUACUCAGCAAACCUGUAUGGAAUCGGGUGGGAUAUCCUGCAAGAGUAACAAGAGGAUAAUAACUGUGUCGUUACUCUUCAACACAGCCUCCUGAAAGAAGCUCUCUGAAGAUGGACUGUGCUUUUUGUUCACUGAGUUUUCAAAAUGAGUAACUUUGGCAUGCACUGAAUAUAUGACUCAUUUUCUACUUCCUUUCAGUAUAUUUUCACUUCUAUUUGAAACAGCUUCUCACUAAUAUGCCAGGCUGACACUGAACUUGCUCUGUAACCCAGACAGCCUUUGAACUUGUGAUCUUCUUGCCUCAAACUCCUGAAUAGCUAAAAUUACAGACAGGAACAUACUGAUCUUAAUUCUUAAAUCAUGUCUAGUGGAUUGGGUUAAGUAAUUAAUUAAGGGAAAAUAUAAAAAUGAAUAAAAUGUGAAGGCAAUAGUAUAAGAUGUGAUUAUACCAAUUAAUCAAUGCUUUAAAAGCAAACACAAUAACUAUAAAUGGAACUUAAAUUAGCAGUUGAAAUACAGAGAAUUUCAAAAUGAGCCAACACAAAUUAUUAACUCUAUGCAUUAAUGAAUUAUUGAGCUAAUUAGGAAUGUGGAACAACUUUAGGAAAUACGUGAAGAUUUAAUAUAUAAUGCUAGUCAAAAUAUAGUAGAACUGUAUUACAACAACAAAUAUUAUGGUUAAAAUGUUCUUGCAAAUAUCAUUACAUUUUAAUUAUUUUUAAAUGUACCAAUUCAUAAAAUGGUUUAAUAUAGAACUUGUACAAAUCCAGCAAUAAUCUGAAAAUACAAACAAAAAUAAAAUUUGACAGAUCCACAUUCAUACUCGGAUAUAUAAAUACAUUUCUACUAUGAAUUUAUUUCUUAUUCAGAGAAGUAACAAAAGAAAACAAACAAAGAAACAAAUUAGGACAAGAAAAAUUUGAGUUUCCUAUUUAUCUAGCUAAUUCAAUGACAUGGAAACUCUACUAAGAAAAAAAUAGACAUAUGGGCAUCAUUACAUUAAAGGUAUUCUAUAAUUAUCUGUAAUUCUAUGAAAUCAAGACCAGCUUUCUGAAAGAUUUGAAAGUUUUAAUACACAUUGUAAAGUAUAUCAUGGUAAUGUGAAAAAUCAAAACCAAAUUGUAGCACACUCAGAAAUAAAGAAUGCUGCUGAAGUCAUAUAGAAACAAAAGGGCGAAACCUGAGGAGAAAGACAAUCUAAGCUGUUCUCUAACACCAGAAGUUGGUGAACACAUACUAGAAUGAGCUCAAAGCAAAUCAAAAGACAAUUAUGAAAACUAAUUAAAGUAUGAAAGGUAAGGGAAUGCUAGGUAAAGAAUAAUCAGCUAAAGAAAAAGUUUCUACUCCAUCCCCCGUGCCUGCAUUUCUUGUCAACAGGAUAAAUUUUGGGUCAAAAGUUUUUUGAGUGGGUUGGUGUCUCUCUCGUUCUUCUGGAGUUCCUAACUGGCUAUAGGAGGUGGUAUCUUCUGGUUUCAUAUCUCCAAUGCUAUGAGUCACCUCCACUGAUUCUUGGGCACCGCCCUUAAAUUUAUCCUGUCAAUAAGAAAUACAGGGAAAGGAGAUGGAGCAGAGACUGAGGAAAUGGUCAAGUAAUAACCGGCCCAACUCGAUAUUCAUCCCAUGGGCAAGAACUAAUCCCUGACACUAUUAAUGAUACUCUGUUAUGCUUGCAGACAGGAGCCUAGCAUGCUGUCCUAUGAGAGGCUCCACCCAGCAGCUGCCUCAGAUGAAAUUAGAAACUCACAAAAAAAAUAGUGGAUAGAGCUUGGGGACUCUUAUGGAAGGACAGGAAGAAGCAUUGAGGCACUAGGAACUCCACAGGAUGACCAAAAGAAUAAAUUAACCUGGACCCUUGGGGCUCUCAGAGACUGACCCAACAAACCAAAUCCGUGUCUUUAAUACAAUGCCUUGCCUAGCUUCAGUCCAUUCUCGUCUCCUUUUACCCUCAAUAAGCAUGCUCAAGUCUCGGUUUCUUUAUCCUAAAGUUUGCCACAACAAAAUUCUAUCUGAAAUUAUGAAAUACAUUAUAUGGGAUCAAGCACUCGAAGAUAAAGUCUUAUUCAGUAGAUGAAAGAACGCCUAGAGGUAAAAACUGCUAUCCAGGUAGUGCCCUGACAACAGACCAAGGAAACAGUGCUACCCAAGUCUAGUGUGAUGAGCCAACAAGGCUGUUGAGGCUACUCCCAAGAACAUGGCUGACCCAGAGGCAGCUGAACCACUGAAGAGCCCACCCCAACAUGGGUGAUGGCUCAAGGGAGCUGCAUCUUGGAUCCCCACACAGCUUCAUAGAAUUCUACAAAAGUGUCUUUUCUCUCCUGGCAACUAUAUACUAUUUACAUAACUUAAAGGACAGACUUCCUGAAUCCUGUAACUUUUUUGAGCUUCCCAAGUCUCACAAAUGCUCUUAGUUUCCAUGGUGCUAGGAGCCUCUCUUCUUCCUCCCAGGAAGAAGUACUUAUUCAAGGGAAGCAGCUACAAAGGAGCAUAUAGGCACAGGUUCCCAUUAACUCCAUGGAAUGACGAUAGGAAUAACUAAAUGAUGACUGCAAGCUAUUUUGUAAUUACAAACUGCUAAAUAAUAAAGGUUGACUAAUUAUC